UACAGAGGGGGCAAGCGUUGUUCGGAAUUACUGGGCGUAAAGAGCUCGUAGGCGGUUUGUCGCGUCGAAUGUGAAAACCCGGGGCUCAACCCCGGGCCUGCAUUCGAUACGGGCAGACUAGAGUUCGGUAGGGGAGUCUGGAAUUCCUGGUGUAGCGGUGAAAUGCGCAGAUAUCAGGAGGAACACCGGUGGCGAAGGCGGGACUCUGGGCCGAUACUGACGCUGAGGAGCGAAAGCGUGGGGAGCGAACAGG
This 253-nucleotide ribosomal RNA is filed under the name uncultured bacterium. RNAcentral's name for it is "partial 16S ribosomal RNA". It matches the Rfam family "Bacterial small subunit ribosomal RNA", at positions 524 to 776 of the family's 1533-position model. The record is from RNAcentral.